Long non-coding RNA from Amphiprion ocellaris (clown anemonefish), 941 nucleotides. RefSeq lists it as uncharacterized. NCBI's taxonomy places the organism in Eukaryota, Metazoa, Chordata, Actinopteri, Pomacentridae. The transcript has 3 exons. The record is from RefSeq and is a predicted model, not a curated record.
GUCCUAUGGAGGAGGCAGCAGAGACUCUGCUCUCCUCGUUUGGAUUAAUUCUGAUAUAAUAACUGUUGGUUUAUUUAUCGGUGGAGCAGCAGAACAUUUUCCACAGACAGUUUUCCUGCCCGUUGGCUUGUUUUAAACAGUUUUCUGCCUUCGGCUGAUUCUACCAGCAGACACUGAAAGGACUCUGAUAGUUCGAGUGAAAGUAGCAGUUCCUCCUUAAGGCCAGAGAUUGCAGCAUCUGAGGGCCUCUUCAAAGGAAGACGUAGUUGAUGAAGGCGUUCUGGAGCAGGACCAGAAAGACCACGACCAAGCAGCCUUGAGAUCUUAGGCAGCAUCUCCCUCAGGUCCCUCUCUAUCUCCCCACACAUCCACCAACCACUGGAACACAUCUCCAAAGUUCUGCCAGGCCAGCUCAGCUUCCCCUCAGAAGAAGUGGCGCCACCUGCCAGAUGAAGGAGCCUUUUGAGAGGCAGCUGGCAUCGUGAUUGGACUGUACUUUGGUCUGUUCCAGUCCAGCUUCAGCUCCAGAGAUGGCAGGCGGGACGAGUCAACGGAGGCCGGGUGGACGAAGGCGUGCAGCUGAGUAUAAUCCAGAAAACAACAGAGGAGGAUUGCAGCAGCCCAGGGCCAGAACAACCAGAGUAGCAUCGUAUGUCUCUUAGAAAACAUCAUAGUAUAGCCUUUGGUAUGAAAAAACGCCAUCAUAUACAUUGUAUAUUGUACAAAUAAGUCAAAGCAAAGAGACAUACAUUGUAGAAUUGUAGUGAGUGUGGGCUGACUGAUUUCCUGAUUAUCAGUAUUUUAUUUUUUACUGAUUUACGGUAAUAAAUACAUUUAAAAAUGGUGCUAAUUUGGCGCUAAUUUGGCUCUGAAUGUUUAUCUACCUGUGGUCGCUCUGUCUUCUGGAGUGAUUUGAUUGGUUAUAUAUCACAAAUAAAACU